GCGAAUUGUAUAAAUGACCUGUGAUC
This 26-nucleotide non-coding RNA is filed under the name Drosophila erecta. RNAcentral also lists the same sequence under 1 other name. Lineage: Eukaryota; Metazoa; Arthropoda; Insecta; Diptera; Drosophilidae. The record is from RNAcentral.